This 447-nucleotide ribosomal RNA is filed under the name uncultured bacterium. RNAcentral describes it as "bacterial SSU rRNA". It matches the Rfam family "Bacterial small subunit ribosomal RNA", at positions 328 to 792 of the family's 1533-position model. The record is from RNAcentral.
CUCCCAGACUCCUACGGGAGGCAGCAGUGGGGGAUAUUGCACAAUGGGCGAAAGCCUGAUGCAGCGACGCCGCGUGAGGGAAGACGGUCUUCGGAUUGUAAACCUCUGUCUUUGGGGAAGAAUAGAGACGGUACCCAAAGAGGAAGCUCCGGCUAACUACGUGCCAGCAGCCGCGGUAAUACGUAGGGAGCAAGCGUUGUCCGGAAUUACUGGGUGUAAAGGGAGCGUAGGCGGGAAGACAAGUUGAAUGUUUAAACUAUCGGCUCAACCGAUAAUCGCGUUCAAAACUGUUUUUCUUGAGUGAAGUAGAGGCAGGCGGAAUUCCUAGUGUAGCGGUGAAAUGCGUAGAUAUUAGGAGGAACACCAGUGGCGAAGGCGGCCUGCUGGGCUUUAACUGACGCUGAGGCUCGAAAGCGUGGGUAGCAAACAGGAUUAGAUACCCCUGUA